ACAGACACCAGGGAUGCAGGAUGUGGCUUGACAGAGCUGGAUGUGGACUUUCCCUACUCCAAUGAGUCAGAUGAGAAGACACAAUCAAAAACAGGAGUAAUGAUCCCAUGACACUGGAACCCAUGAGAGUGUCUACCUCUCAUGUUGCUGU
Molecule: long non-coding RNA, 151 nt
Organism: Microtus oregoni (creeping vole)
Lineage: Eukaryota; Metazoa; Chordata; Mammalia; Rodentia; Cricetidae
Exons: 3
Source: RefSeq, a predicted model, not a curated record